This 338-nucleotide ribosomal RNA is filed under the name uncultured eukaryote. RNAcentral describes it as "partial 18S ribosomal RNA". It matches the Rfam family "Eukaryotic small subunit ribosomal RNA", at positions 1470 to 1796 of the family's 1831-position model. The record is from RNAcentral.
CCCUUAGAUGUUCGGAGCUGCACGCGCGCUACACUGAAGGAAGCAGCGUGUUAGAGCACCUGGCUUGAAAGAGCUGGGUAAUCCGGUGAAUGUCCUUCGUGAUUGGGAUAGGGACUUGUAAUUAUUUCCCUUGAACGAGGAAUUCCCAGUAAGCGCGAGUCAUCAGCUCGCGUUGAUUACGUCCCUGCCCUUUGUACACACCGCCCGUCGCUACUACCGAUUGAAUGGUUUAGUGAGAUCCUCGGAUCGGCGGCGUCGGGACGGCCCUGCCGUACCGUUCUGCAUUGUCCGAGAAGACGAUCAAACUUGAUCAUUUAGAGGAAGUAAAAGUCGUAACA